This 567-nucleotide ribosomal RNA is filed under the name uncultured archaeon. RNAcentral's name for it is "bacterial SSU rRNA". It matches the Rfam family "Archaeal small subunit ribosomal RNA", at positions 1 to 574 of the family's 1478-position model. The record is from RNAcentral.
UUCCGGUUGAUCCUGCCGGACCUGACUGCUAUCGGAUUGAUACUAAGCCAUGCGAGUCAUUGUAGUAAUACAAGGCAGACGGCUCAGUAACGCGUAGUCAACCUAACCUAUGGACGGGAAUAACCUCGGGAAACUGAGUAUAAUGCCCGAUAGAACAUUAUGCCUGGAAUGGUUUAUGUUCCAAAUGAUUUAUCGCCGUAGGAUGGGACUGCGGCCUAUCAGUUUGUUGGUGAGGUAAUGGCCCACCAAGACUAUUACAGGUACGGGCUCUGAGAGGAGUAGCCCGGAGAUGGGUACUGAGACACGGACCCAGGCCCUAUGGGGCGCAGCAGGCGAGAAAACUUUGCAAUGUGCGAAAGCACGACAAGGUUAAUCCGAGUGGUUUCUGCUAAAGGAACCUCUUGUUAGUCCUAGAAACACUAACGAAUAAGGGGUGGGCAAGUUCUGGUGUCAGCCGCCGCGGUAAAACCAGCACCUCAAGUGGUCAGGAUGAUUAUUGGGCCUAAAGCAUCCGUAGCCGGCUCUGUAAGUUUUUCGGUAAAUCUGUACGCUCAACGUACAGGCUGC